UCAUAUUUCAAACACAAAACCUAUUCAAUAUAACUACAUAAAGACACCAAUUUAACCAUUCACAUUUCACCACAAAUAUACCAAAAGGACCAUAUAUUACAAGUACUUAAAAGUGACCAAAAGACUUAAACUUGCCUAAGCAUUAUAAGUCUAACAUACAAAAUACAUAUUCCAAAAACAUAUUCAUACCAAAUUGUCCACUAACAUAUUCAGAGACAUUCAUUAGAAAAAGGUCCUAUACAUGCCAUUUAUAACCUUGGCCAAAAUAACUUAACAACUACCGAAGUGGUUGCUAGAUAGUGUGAUAGAUCUUCGACAAGCUUUCAACCGAUCGAGCUUCUGAUAAUCUACGAAACAAAGAAAAAUAACUACGUAAGCAACUAGUGCUUAGUAAGCUCGUAUAAACUCAAACAUAACUUACCAUUCUUAAGCUCAAUUUAUAAAAUGUGCAUAACAUCUUUACCAUACUCAUAAGCUUAAUACAAUCCUAUAAGCAUCACCAAACUCACAAAUUAGUAGGCUCAUGUAUAAUGCAUAUAGAAAAUCAACCAUUUCACAAAUGAAUCUUCAUGAACAUAACAUUCAUCACAUAAUCAUAUAGUUCCAUUCAAUUCACUUGCAUUCAUCCAAAUUUACCUUUCAUAAAUUUAUAAGUAAUUAUCCAUUUAAACACAUGCCUUGCCAAUUACCUUUACUUACCCGUUGAACCAUCUAGAAUUACAUCGGAUACUUAGGAAUGCUCACACAUAGUGUGCCUGCCCAUAUAAUUAUAGCCUUUCUUUUUCAAUAGUGCUCACACGAGCUAUGAAAUGGGCCUGUUCACACGAGUUGUGGGUUGGAAUGGUAGCUACACGAUGCUGCUCACACGAGUUAUGGAGAAUCCGCAAUAAAUGCAGGACCUUAGUCAUCGGUAAGGCAUUCAAGACCAGCACCUGAAACAUGAAAUCCCUAAUAACAUGUCAUUCAUAUCCUAAAAAUUCUUAAGGUUCAAAUGAGAUUAUUUAUCCAUCAAUUACUCAAAGCAUCGAUAUAUAUAUCCAUUUUCAAGUCAGUUUAUAACUAACACAACAUGGCCGAUAAACAAUCAAACCAUCAUUAAUAAUAUUAUAAUUUAUACAAACUUACCUAGACAACUAUGGUUGCAAUAACAGAGUUGAAUUCUAGUCUAAAGCUUUAGUUUUUCCUCUAUUUAAGUUCGGUUAUUAUUUAUCUUGAUCUAAAUAAAUAGUUUCAUUCAAUUAAGUACUUCAAUUAACCUCAAGUAUUCAAUACAAUCUAUAAUUCAUAUUAUCAUAAAAUUACAAAGUUACCCCUCUCAUUUUAACUUUUCACAAAUUAGUCUUUAAGCUCGUAACUUAAAAUUUAACCAUUUUAACCUAAACCCAUGUUAACUGAUUCUACUAGGGAUCUUGAACAACCCAUAAUUACCAACAUUUCACAUUAAAACCAAUGGAUUUUUACACUUUCAAUAAUUUAAUCCCUAAUCUCAAAUUCAUCAAAAACUAUUUAACAAAACAAGUUUGUUUGACAACCAAGAUUAAUAAUCUAUCAACUAACAUCAAAACACAUUCAAACUCAAUUAUGGAAAGUCCCUCAACCUUUAACAAUUUUGCAAAUUAACCCCCGAGUUAAGUAGUUUAAGCUAAAACGAGCUCAAAAACAUAAAAAUUAAUAAAAACGAGGCUUAAUUACAUACCAUGCAAGGUGAAACACCAUGACCGAAAGCUUCUUCCCCUUUCUAAUGGCUAAUCGGUUUUGAAACAAUCAAAUGAAGAAGAUUAUGAUUUUAACUUAAUUAAUUUUAUGUUUAUUUACUAAUUUACCAUCUUACCCUUGUUAUUAAUUAAAAACUUCAAUUAAACCUUUUCCAUAACUAUCCACUAACUUAAUUAUGGCAUAAUUACCAUCUAAGUUCAUUAGCUAUCCCUUCCAUAGCCAUUUAGUCAUUUUAACUAAUAUAACUCAACUUUUAUACAUUUUUCAAUUUAGUCUUUUUUACCUAGUUAACCAAUUAAACUUCAAAAUUUCUUAAUGAAAAUUUAAUACUACUUUAAAUCAACCUUAUAGACAUUAAAUAAAUAUUAAAAUAUUAACAUAGUUGUCAGAGUCAUGGUUUCGAAACCACUAUUUCUGACACCACUAAAAAUGGGUUGUUACAAACGUCACCCUUCCUACCAAAGAUAACAUUUUAGCAUCUUGAUUAUCAAGGUUUCGCCGAAAUUUAUCCACCACAAAAUUGAAAGUACUCGAUGUCAACCUACAAUGAAAUAGUGGCAUUCCCAAGUAGGUUCCUAAAUCAUCCGUUUUAGCAUAGCCAAGAACCCUAAAAAUAUCAUCAACUACAGAAAGAUUAGUGUUUUUGGAGAAAAAUACCUCUGUCUUUUUAGAAUUAACAUUGUGACCUGAUGCACUACCAAAAAUAUCCAUAACCUUCUUAAUUAUACGAGCUUGAGACACAUUUGCUUCUGCGAAAAGGAAUAAAUCAUCAGCAAAGAAAAUGUGUGAAAUAGCUGGCCCAUUCUUGACAACUAAAAUUGGCAUCCAAGCAUUCUCCUUAACCUUCCUAUGAAUCAUUUAGCUAAAUCUUUCCAUACAGGAGACAAACAAAUAAGGGGAAAGGGGGCAACCUUAUCGAAUACCUCUCUUCGAAACAAACUCCUUAGAAAAAACCCCAUUCCAAAUUAUUUGCAUCGAAACAGAAGAAACACAAUCCAUAAUAAUCCAAGAAAGCGAAGAAGGAAUACUUGAAUCAAACAACGUAUCCUCAAUGAAAUACCAUCUGAGUUUGUCAUAUGCCUUAUUUAGAUCACCUUUAUGGCUAUCCUCCCAUUUUUUUCCUUUUUUUUAUCCUCAUCGAAUGUAUUAUUUUUUGAGCAAUUACUAUGUUAUCCGUAAUAUGCCUCCCUGCUACAAAGCUUACUUGGGUUUGCGCAUUGAGCAUAGGAAAAAUAGUCUCUAAAUCUAUUGGCAAUGAUCUUCGAAAAUAGUUUAUUUAAAACAUUACAUAAGCUGAUGGGGCAAAAUUGUGAUAGAGUUUUUGGGCUUUGCACUUUCGGAAUAAGCACCAAUAGAGUACAUUUGAUAGCUUGAUCAAUUGAUUUACCACCAAAGAUUCCCCUAACCUAAGAGCAAAUAUCUUGACCUAUAGUCUCCCACUAAUUUUGAUAGAAAAAAGCAUGGAAACCAUCCGGUCAAGAGCCUUCAAUGGACCCAUACUGAACAGAGCACAUCUAAUUUCAUCAUUAGAAACAUCAUCACCCAAAAAAUCCAAGUUAAUCGAAUCAAUCACAGGAAAGGGCCUAUGUAAGGGAAAAGUAGCAUACCUAUCAUCAUUAAAAGAAUAGAGGGAACUAAAUAAAGAAACAACUUCACUUUAAAGGAUACUGUCAACAAAACGCCAAUCCUCAUUAACUUUUAAAGUUGAAAUUCUAUUGGAAUUUCUCCUCCUUAAUGCUUUAUUAUGGAAGAAUUUCGUGUUACGAUCACCAUGUUGAAACCAAUCCACUCUUGAUUUUUGCCUCCAUAGUGAUUCUUCUUCAAGGGUCUUUUCAUACUCAAUACUCAAAUCCAAAUCCACAUCCAAAAGGAAUUUCAGACACCUCCUAUCUAACGCUGCUUGGAUAUUCCCAAUACAAUGAGCAAUAUCUCGUUUUUGUUUCCUAAUAUAACCGUAAACAUCUCUGUUCCAUCUCCUAAGGUCUGAAGUAAGGGAGUUUAAAGAAGCUGAUAAGUCUGGUCCUUAUUUCCACCUUUCUUGGAUAAGUAGAUUAAAGGAAGGGUGGGAAACCCAUGAAGACAAAAACCUGAAGGGCCUAAUUGAUCUAGGCAUCAUGGUCGACUCUUUAGAAGUCAAAAGUGGCCUAUGGUUUGACUUCAACCGAGUAAGAUAGUACACCACAAUAGCUAAAAAAAGCCAGAACCAUUCAAAAUUAUCGAUCGCCCUACCAAGUCUUUCAAAGAUGGACCCUCUACGCCAUGUGAAUUGAGGUCCCUUGAAUCCAAGAUCCCUUAAUGCAUUCAACUGAAUAAAAUCCUGAAAUAAGUUACAACCAAAAAUAGCUGGACGACCACCUCUUUUCUCAUCCGGUGAUAGAAAAGCGUUAAAAUCUCCUAUCAACAUCCAAGGGCCAUUGACAGAUUAACCAAUACUAUUUAAGAGAUUCCACAAAACUGAACGCUUCUAUUUAUCUGGGCUCCCAUAAACAAAGGUAACAAGCAAGGCCUGAACCCCACAUUCUUCCUAACUCUACAGUGAACAAAUUGAGAGUCAUAUUGAAGAAUUUGAACUUCAAGACAAAUUUUCCAAACUAUCCAAAUACCACCCGAGUAACCUCGAGAUUCAACUCUAUAAGAGAAAUCAAAAUUAAGAUUAGAAAUAAUCCUAUCCACUUUAACAGCACUUACCCUUGUCUUAAGAAAAGAAGCUAUGUCAACAUCAUAUUUGUUGAAAUAGUCUUUGACAACCCUUAAAAAUUUUGGGUUUGCAUAGCCUUGACAGUUCUAAACAAAGAAACUUGGUAAAAUCAUAAAAAAGAGAAGAUUUUAAACUGAACCAAACUGACCUCAAACAGAUGCUAUAUCCAUACUAUCGGUUCCCGUUGAAACACUAUCAGCCAUGCCAUUCGUAGACAAAGAAUCAUCUACCCCAAGUGUCUCAACUAUUUUAUUCAUGGCUUCCAGUAAAGGAACAUGGGCUAGCCCUGUACUUUGAGCUUACCUUUUUUUCCCCAAAGAAUGUUAAGAGGCUUUUUGACAUGUUUGAAACUCCCCUCUGAUGGAUUGCUGCGCACAGAAGCGAGAACAUUUACUUCUAUCGACGAACCAAAAACUAACAUUGUAUUAGUGGAAAGAUUCAGGUGUUUAUUCUCAACAAAAGCUACCACUUAAUGUUUCAAAAUGUUAAGUGUAGAAUUCAUUGGUUUUUCCAUAAAAAAAAUUAGUACCCUCAAACCCCUGCUUUACCUCCAACUGUGAAAGGUUAACAGUUGUCGACAAGCCUAGCACCCCCAAUUGAGGACAAG
RNAcentral lists this long non-coding RNA (5021 nucleotides) under Gossypium raimondii (Peruvian cotton). Its description in RNAcentral is "long non-coding RNA (GRAI_LNC001941)". Lineage: Eukaryota; Viridiplantae; Streptophyta; Magnoliopsida; Malvales; Malvaceae. The record is from RNAcentral.